AGGACGAACGCUGGCGGCGUGCUUAACACAUGCAAGUCAAGGGGGCCCAGCAAUGGGCAACCGGCGAACGGGUGCGUAACACGUGAGCAACCUACCGAAAUGUGGGGGAUAGCCGGCCUAACGGCCGAGUAAUACCGCAUACGCUCUCGAUGAGGCAUUUCAUUGAGAGGAAACCUACGGGACAUUUCGAGGGGCUCGCGGCCUAGUCAGCUAGUUGGCGAGGUAACGGCUCACCAAGGCGACGACGGGUAGCUGGUCUGAGAGGAUGGCCAGCCACGAUUGGGACUGAGAGUACGGCCCAGACGUCCUACGGGAGCAGCGAGUGGGAAUC
RNAcentral lists this ribosomal RNA (331 nucleotides) under uncultured soil bacterium. RNAcentral describes it as "bacterial SSU rRNA". It matches the Rfam family "Bacterial small subunit ribosomal RNA", at positions 26 to 363 of the family's 1533-position model. The record is from RNAcentral.